CUACCUUUGACAUGUACGGAACUCGCCAGAGAUGGCUUGGUGCUCGAAAGAGAGCCGUAACACAGGUGCUGCAUGGCUGUCGUCAGCUCGUGUCGUGAGAUGUUGGGUUAAGUCCCGCAACGAGCGCAACCCUUGUCAUUAGUUGCUACAUUUAGUUGGGCACUCUAAUGAGACUGCCGGCGACAAACCGGAGGAAGGUGGGGAUGACGUCAAGUCCUCAUGGCCCUUAUAGGUAGGGCUACACACGUCAUACAAUGGAUGGUACAAAGGGUCGCCAACCCGCGAGGGGGAGCCAAUCCCAUAAAGCCAUUCGUAGUCCGGAUCGCAGUCUGCAACUCGACUGCGUGAAGUCGGAAUCGCUAGUAAUCGUGGAUCAGA
This 378-nucleotide ribosomal RNA is filed under the name uncultured bacterium. RNAcentral's name for it is "bacterial SSU rRNA". It matches the Rfam family "Bacterial small subunit ribosomal RNA", at positions 975 to 1353 of the family's 1533-position model. The record is from RNAcentral.